RNAcentral lists this ribosomal RNA (1489 nucleotides) under Lactiplantibacillus pentosus. Its description in RNAcentral is "bacterial SSU rRNA". It matches the Rfam family "Bacterial small subunit ribosomal RNA". Lineage: Bacteria; Bacillati; Bacillota; Bacilli; Lactobacillales; Lactobacillaceae. The record is from RNAcentral.
GACGAACGCUGGCGGCGUGCCUAAUACAUGCAAGUCGAACGAACUCUGGUAUUGAUUGGUGCUUGCAUCAUGAUUUACAUUUGAGUGAGUGGCGAACUGGUGAGUAACACGUGGGAAACCUGCCCAGAAGCGGGGGAUAACACCUGGAAACAGAUGCUAAUACCGCAUAACAACUUGGACCGCAUGGUCCGAGUUUGAAAGAUGGCUUCGGCUAUCACUUUUGGAUGGUCCCGCGGCGUAUUAGCUAGAUGGUGGGGUAACGGCUCACCAUGGCAAUGAUACGUAGCCGACCUGAGAGGGUAAUCGGCCACAUUGGGACUGAGACACGGCCCAAACUCCUACGGGAGGCAGCAGUAGGGAAUCUUCCACAAUGGACGAAAGUCUGAUGGAGCAACGCCGCGUGAGUGAAGAAGGGUUUCGGCUCGUAAAACUCUGUUGUUAAAGAAGAACAUAUCUGAGAGUAACUGUUCAGGUAUUGACGGUAUUUAACCAGAAAGCCACGGCUAACUACGUGCCAGCAGCCGCGGUAAUACGUAGGUGGCAAGCGUUGUCCGGAUUUAUUGGGCGUAAAGCGAGCGCAGGCGGUUUUUUAAGUCUGAUGUGAAAGCCUUCGGCUCAACCGAAGAAGUGCAUCGGAAACUGGGAAACUUGAGUGCAGAAGAGGACAGUGGAACUCCAUGUGUAGCGGUGAAAUGCGUAGAUAUAUGGAAGAACACCAGUGGCGAAGGCGGCUGUCUGGUCUGUAACUGACGCUGAGGCUCGAAAGUAUGGGUAGCAAACAGGAUUAGAUACCCUGGUAGUCCAUACCGUAAACGAUGAAUGCUAAGUGUUGGAGGGUUUCCGCCCUUCAGUGCUGCAGCUAACGCAUUAAGCAUUCCGCCUGGGGAGUACGGCCGCAAGGCUGAAACUCAAAGGAAUUGACGGGGGCCCGCACAAGCGGUGGAGCAUGUGGUUUAAUUCGAAGCUACGCGAAGAACCUUACCAGGUCUUGACAUACUAUGCAAAUCUAAGAGAUUAGACAUUCCCUUCGGGGACAUGGAUACAGGUGGUGCAUGGUUGUCGUCAGCUCGUGUCGUGAGAUGUUGGGUUAAGUCCCGCAACGAGCGCAACCCUUAUUAUCAGUUGCCAGCAUUAAGUUGGGCACUCUGGUGAGACUGCCGGUGACAAACCGGAGGAAGGUGGGGAUGACGUCAAAUCAUCAUGCCCCUUAUGACCUGGGCUACACACGUGCUACAAUGGAUGGUACAACGAGUUGCGAACUCGCGAGAGUAAGCUAAUCUCUUAAAGCCAUUCUCAGUUCGGAUUGUAGGCUGCAACUCGCCUACAUGAAGUCGGAAUCGCUAGUAAUCGCGGAUCAGCAUGCCGCGGUGAAUACGUUCCCGGGCCUUGUACACACCGCCCGUCACACCAUGAGAGUUUGUAACACCCAAAGUCGGUGGGGUAACCUUUUAGGAACCAGCCGCCUAAGGUGGGACAGAUGAUUAGGGUG